Molecule: non-coding RNA, 255 nt
Organism: Cinara cedri
Lineage: Eukaryota; Metazoa; Arthropoda; Insecta; Hemiptera; Aphididae
Source: the annotation of a GenBank genome assembly
AGUGUAAUAAUAACAGAUUAUCUUUCUUUUGAACAUCAAAUUAUUCAUUUUUAUUCCGUUUUGAACUUAUUUGGCCCACUGCUGUAAUAAUUUCUCGGACGUUGUAUACGUUUCACUUUCGGUGUGGCGUCCUCUUAACUCUUAAGUGUGGCUUAAGUACAAAAAGUAUAUAUGGCUAUGCAUAACACAUAGUGAAAACAUAUACACGAUAGUAUUGGUAUUAUUUAACUAUUUUUGGUUAUAUAUUUAUGUAGC